Molecule: long non-coding RNA, 531 nt
Organism: Hyla sarda
Lineage: Eukaryota; Metazoa; Chordata; Amphibia; Anura; Hylidae
Exons: 3
Source: RefSeq, a predicted model, not a curated record
GGGCAACUGGGCAACUUUGACUCUCCACAGGUUUUGAUAAAUCUCCCCCAGGGAGCCGAUCAUUUACGAUCUACUGCACUUGGAAGUCUUGUAAGGUUUUCCUAGGUUGCAGUGCGGCCUGAAACAUUACAUUACUAGUACGGUGUUCAGAGGGAGCCUGUCUGUGCUUCAAUGGGUGGAGUGACCUCUGGGUGGGAGAUCAUUCUGAAAGAAUUUGCAACAGCUGAAGGCACCCUGGUCAGAAAACACUGGUCUAUUGCAAUGCGACAGCUCAGGAUCUCAUCCUCCAUUAGAGAUCGGGAUGGGAGUGAAGGAUGAGAAGCGGCGCUAAUUACGGUUCAGUGAAGAACUCGGAGGACGCGCUGGGAUUUCCCUCGGCGCUUCGAGGAAAGUGUUUAGAAUUCAUGAAGAGAAAUACAAGAAAUAUUUGUUUAUUGAGCGAGUCCUGGGAGCGAGACGACUCUGAACUAAUGUUUGUUUCUACAAAUUUCCAUCCCCGGCCUUCAGAUAUUGUAGCAGCCGAUUACACGA